Molecule: small nucleolar RNA, 136 nt
Organism: Alligator mississippiensis (American alligator)
Lineage: Eukaryota; Metazoa; Chordata; Crocodylia; Alligatoridae
Rfam family: Small nucleolar RNA SNORA5
About the family: ACA5 is a member of the H/ACA class of snoRNA that guide the sites of modification of uridines to pseudouridines.
Source: Rfam
UGCAGCCGUGUCACGCUCGGGGCUCCUCUUUCCCAUAGGAGCCCUAGCACAGCCCGCUGCCAUGGCAAAACCUGUAGCACACGGGCCCCACCACUCUGCCGGUGAGCUCUGGGGGGUAUAUCCACUGCAGACGUCC